UACGGGGGGGGCAAGCGUUGUUCGGAAUUACUGGGCGUAAAGGGCUCGUAGGUGGCCAACUAAGUCAGACGUGAAAUCCCUCGGCUUAACCGGGGAACUGCGUCUGAUACUGGAUGGCUUGAGUUUGGGAGAGGGACGCGGAAUUCCAGGUGUAGCGGUGAAAUGCGUAGAUAUCUUGAAGAACACCAGUGGCGAAGGCGGCUCACUGGACUGGUAUUGACGCUGAGGUGCGAAAGCGUGGGGAGCAAACAGG
This 253-nucleotide ribosomal RNA is filed under the name uncultured bacterium. RNAcentral's name for it is "partial 16S ribosomal RNA". It matches the Rfam family "Bacterial small subunit ribosomal RNA", at positions 524 to 776 of the family's 1533-position model. The record is from RNAcentral.